RNAcentral lists this long non-coding RNA (236 nucleotides) under Cyanistes caeruleus (blue tit). Its description in RNAcentral is "lncRNA (ENSCCEG00000015713.1)". The record is from RNAcentral. Lineage: Eukaryota; Metazoa; Chordata; Aves; Passeriformes; Paridae.
AAAUAUUAAUAGGUUUGUGCUCUAUGUAACUGUCUGCUCUCCUUCUGCCCCAAGUCCCUGGGAACCAGCUGAGAUGAAGUACAGUGACUGGGUAUGACCACUGCUACAGAAUAAAGAACAAGCAAGAAUUAAGUUUUAACCUGGAAGUUAUUGAUCAUACAAUUUGUGGACCUUAAACUGUUUCAGUAUUUUAAAUUUAAUAUGUCACCUCAAGUCCUCAGAACAGGUCUGAAUAA